RNAcentral lists this ribosomal RNA (545 nucleotides) under Penicillium sp. KP6-10-4. RNAcentral describes it as "eukaryotic LSU rRNA". The stretch from base 166 to 318 matches the Rfam family "5.8S ribosomal RNA". Lineage: Eukaryota; Fungi; Ascomycota; Eurotiomycetes; Eurotiales; Aspergillaceae. The record is from RNAcentral.
CCCUCUGGGUCCAACCUCCCACCCGUGUUUAUUUUACCUUGUUGCUUCGGCGGGCCCGCCUUAACUGGCCGCCGGGGGGCUUACGCCCCCGGGCCCGCGCCCGCCGAAGACACCCUCGAACUCUGUCUGAAGAUUGUAGUCUGAGUGAAAAUAUAAAUUAUUUAAAACUUUCAACAACGGAUCUCUUGGUUCCGGCAUCGAUGAAGAACGCAGCGAAAUGCGAUACGUAAUGUGAAUUGCAAAUUCAGUGAAUCAUCGAGUCUUUGAACGCACAUUGCGCCCCCUGGUAUUCCGGGGGGCAUGCCUGUCCGAGCGUCAUUUCUGCCCUCAAGCACGGCUUGUGUGUUGGGCCCCGUCCUCCGAUCCCGGGGGACGGGCCCGAAAGGCAGCGGCGGCACCGCGUCCGGUCCUCGAGCGUAUGGGGCUUUGUCACCCGCUCUGUAGGCCCGGCCGGCGCUUGCCGAUCAACCCAAAUUUUUAUCCAGGUUGACCUCGGAUCAGGUAGGGAUACCCGCUGAACUUAAGCAUAUCAAUAGGCGGAGGAA